RNAcentral lists this long non-coding RNA (556 nucleotides) under Mus spicilegus (steppe mouse). Its description in RNAcentral is "lncRNA (ENSMSIG00000009895.1)". Lineage: Eukaryota; Metazoa; Chordata; Mammalia; Rodentia; Muridae. The record is from RNAcentral.
CUCUUUCCUGAGGCUGUUUCCUGUCUGGCUCCUGGGGGCCUUCGGGAUGGCUGGGAGGGCCCUUCCUCUCAUUUGCUAGCACCCCCUCUCAUCCAUCAGUUUGAGGGGAGGGUCCAGGAAAGACGGCCUCCUAUCUACAUCAGGGCACUGUGACUGUGGGGCACAGGAUGGUUGGAUGAGAGAAGUGCUGUUCCCGAAGUCGGUCCUUUAAGGGCUGCGUGACGCCCGAGAUCUUUACUCCCUGGGUCAGGAAGCACCCUCCAUUUAUCCUGUGUGUAUGAGGUCAUUCCUUCCACUCCCGGACCACCAGAAACUCCUGCUGCCAGCACUGAGUUGCUUAGCCUUCUGCUGCAGUAUUAGGGGACUUGGAGGAACUGAGAUGUGGCUCUGUGGUAGAAGUGCCAGCUGCCAAAGCGGACAACUUGAGUUUGAAUUUCAAGGUAAACAUAGUGGAAGGAGAAAACCGAUUUCCAGAAGUUGUCUGUCAUCUGUGAACUCCACAUGGACACUGUGGCCUUCACUGGCUCUCUCCUAACGCAAUAAAUAUGUAAAUAAA